GACGAACGCUGGCGGCGUGCUUAACACAUGCAAGUCGAACGCUGAAGCUCAGCUUGCUGGGUGGAUGAGUGGCGAACGGGUGAGUAACACGUGAGUAACCUGCCAUCUUCUUUGGGAUCACGCCCGGAAACGGGUGCUAAUACUGGAUAUUCACUGAUUCUCGCAUGGGGGUUGGUGGACAGGUUUUUUCUGGUGGGGUAUGGGCUCGCGGCCUAUCAGCUUGUUGGUGGGGUGAUGGCCUACCAAGGCUUUGACGGGUAGCCGGCAUGACAAGGAGACCGGUCACAUUGGGACUGAGACACGGCCCAGACUCCUACGGGAGGCAGCAGUGGGGAAUAUUGCACGAUGGGCGAAAGCCUGAUGCAGCGACGGCGCGUGGGGGAUGGGGGCCUUCGGGUUGUAAACCUCUUUCGCUCAUGGUUAAGCCGCAGCUUUGGGUUGUGGUGAGGGUAGUGGGUAAAGAAGCGCCGGCUAACUACGUG
Molecule: ribosomal RNA, 482 nt
Filed under: uncultured bacterium
Lineage: Bacteria
Description: partial 16S ribosomal RNA
Rfam family: Bacterial small subunit ribosomal RNA
Source: RNAcentral